This is a long non-coding RNA of Mus pahari (shrew mouse), 495 nucleotides long. RefSeq lists it as uncharacterized. Lineage: Eukaryota; Metazoa; Chordata; Mammalia; Rodentia; Muridae. The transcript is spliced from 3 exons. The record is from RefSeq and is a predicted model, not a curated record.
GUAAGGAUGGAGAUUUGCUUCAUGUUAAUAUCUAGAUGGGUCAGACUGGUGGCAUUAAGAAAGACAUUGAUGUAGAAAUAAAUUUGAAGGUCUGACCAUGCUGAUCAAUGAUGUUGCAAUUCAAGCAUUAAAGUCAUGCUUUCUCCCAGCAUCCUGAGAAUUUCACACUGGAGGAGGCCACUAAUUUAUGGAUGUGGAUGCAGACUACAAGAUCAUCCCCUGAGGAAGAGCUUUCAUUGUCAUGGAUGUGAGACAUGAGAUACUAUUCUUCCAUACAAAUAAGGAGGAGGAUUUUUCUGGUUUAGCCUAGAGAGCUGGAUCUGGACAGGCACUGGAGACAAGAGCAGCAGAGAGCUGGUAGGUUUUGUUUCCCUAUUCCUUUUCAACUAGUAAUAAGACCUGCAUGUAAUUCAUUCUAGUGGAGCUGCAUCCUAUCCAAGAGAAAGGUUACUGCUUUGCUUUUGGAUGUCCUCCUGUGCAAGUUUAUCUAUAAAU